RNAcentral lists this ribosomal RNA (1264 nucleotides) under metagenome. RNAcentral's name for it is "bacterial LSU rRNA". It matches the Rfam family "Bacterial large subunit ribosomal RNA", at positions 1639 to 2925 of the family's 2925-position model. The record is from RNAcentral.
UACCUGUACCUAAAACCGACACAGGUAGGUUGGUAGAGAAUACCAAGGGGCGCGGGAGAACUCUCUCUAAGGAACUCGGCAAACUGGCCCCGUAACUUCGGAAGAAGGGGCGCCUUCUCUUAUGGGAAGGUCGCAGUGACCAGGCUCAUGCAACUGUUUAUCAAAAACACAGGUCUCCGCAAAGUCGAAAGACAAAAUAUGGGGGCUGACGCCUGCCCAGUGCCGGAAGGUUAAGGAAGUUGGUUAUUCUUUUAGUAGAAAAAGCCGACGACCGAAGCCCCGGUGAACGGCGGUCGUAACAAUAACGAUCCUAAGGUAGCGAAAUUCAUUGUCGAGUAAGUUUCGACCUGCACGAAAGGCGUAAUGAUGUGAGCACUGUCUCGGAGAGAGACUCGGUGAAAUAGACUUGUCCGUGAAGAUGCGGACUACCUGCACCUGGACAGAAAGACCCUGUGCAGCUUGACUGUAUCCUGGAAUUGGGUUCGGGCUUUUCUUGCGCAGCCUAGGUGGGAGGCUUUGAAGAUUCCCUUCCGGGGGAAUUUGAGCCGUCAUUGAGAGACCACUCUGGAAGAGCUAGAAUCCUAAUGGUGAUCUUUGAAUCAAGACACUUGACAGUUUCAGGUGGGCAGUUUAUCUGGGGCGGAUACCUCCUAAAGGGUAACGGAGGUGUGCAAUGGUUCCCUCAGUCUGGAAAAAUCAGACAUUGAGUAUAAAGGCAAAAGGGAGCUUGACUGCAAGACCUACAAGUCGAGCAGGGGCGAAAGCCGGCCUUAGUGAUCCGACGGUUCCGUGUGGAAGGGCCGUCGCUCAACGGAUAAAAGUUACACCAGGAUAACAGGCUUAUCUUCCCCAAGAGUCCACAUCGACGGGAAGGUUUGGCACCUCGAUGUCGGCUCAUCACAUCCUGGAGCGGUAGUACGUUCCAAGGGUUGGGCUGUUCGCCCAUUAAAGUGGUACGUGAGCUGGGUUCAAAACGUUGUGAAACAGUUUGGUCCAUAUCCGGUGUAGGCGUUGGAAUAUUGAGAGGAACCAAAAAUAGUACGAGAGGAUUUUUUUGGACAAACCAAUGGUGUAUCGGUUCUCACUCCAGUGGGAAACGCCGAGUAGCUAUGUUUGGAUUAGAUAACUGCUGAAAGCAUAUAAGUAGGAAGCUAACCUCAAGAUGAGUAUUCCCCAUUAGGCCGCGGGAAGAUAACCCGAUCGAUAGGUGUUAGGUGUAAGGCUAGUAAUAGUUUCAGCCAAGACAUACUAAAGGCCAAUUGAU